AACCGGCGACGUUAGCCGAGUGGUCAAAGGCACACGGCCUACAGAGCACUCGAAUUAACUCACUAUCCAGGCGUGGGUUCAAAUCCCAAGCUGGUCU
RNAcentral lists this transfer RNA (97 nucleotides) under Cotesia glomerata. Its description in RNAcentral is "tRNA-Cys". The record is from RNAcentral. Lineage: Eukaryota; Metazoa; Arthropoda; Insecta; Hymenoptera; Braconidae.